Long non-coding RNA from Drosophila teissieri, 556 nucleotides. RefSeq lists it as uncharacterized. NCBI's taxonomy places the organism in Eukaryota, Metazoa, Arthropoda, Insecta, Diptera, Drosophilidae. The transcript has 2 exons. The record is from RefSeq and is a predicted model, not a curated record.
AUAGUCAGUUUCUUAGAACAUAUCACCAUGUUGAAAGCGGUAGUAUUUGUGCUUUUGGCUUUGUUGCACUAUUGCAAAUGCGAAAAUGUAACUAUUUCUGGAGUAAAACACCACAAGAUGAGAUAUUCCCUUUUGAUCUUCCCGCUGCGAUUUGUGCCCCUUCCAAGAAGCGAGGUCCUUGCAAAUUAGCCGCAUAUCACUUUGUGGAAAAAGCUCUUUGGCAAAUUAAACUAAAUAAUUCAAGGACGCGACCGCAGUUCAUAAAAUGGCCCGCCACAAACAAAGCACAAAAAUUGCGCCGCGCAAUCUUUUGUUUUUGCAAAUAUUUCCAGCUGACACACACGCACUUCUAAGCGAAUAUGUGGCUGCAGCUGGAUAUGGAAAUGCUUGACAAGAAAAAUGCGGUCGUCUACUUCGGGGGAGAGCUCAAACAAUGUCAGGCGAAAAAAUGAAACCAUACACUCCAAGAAAAUGUUGGUAUUCAAAAAGAUUACCAAGUAUAUGUUAGCCAAAAUAUUAUGCCCUUUAAAUAAAUAGAAAUCCUGUGCUGAACACA